Molecule: ribosomal RNA, 229 nt
Filed under: uncultured bacterium
Lineage: Bacteria
Description: partial 16S ribosomal RNA
Rfam family: Bacterial small subunit ribosomal RNA
Source: RNAcentral
UGCGUAGGCGGGCUAAUAAGUCAGUGGUGAAAUCUUCAGGCUCAACCGGGAACCUGCCAUUGAUACUGUUAGUCUUGAGUUCGGUUGAGGUAGGCGGAAUGUGUAAUGUAGCGGUGAAAUGCUUAGAUAUUACACAGAACACCAAUUGCGUAGGCAGCUUACUAGACCGACACUGACGCUGAGGCACGAAAGCGUGGGGAGCGAACAGGAUUAGAUACCCGGGUAGUCC